CCCUUAGAUGUCCUGGGCUGCACGCGCGCUACACUGAUGUGUCCAGUAAGCACCUAACCUCUUCCGAAAGGAACGGGUAACCUUUGCAAAGCACAUCGUGAUGGGGAUAGAUUAUUGCAAUUAUUAGUCUUGAACGAGGAAUUUCUAGUAAGCACAAGUCAUCAGCUUGUGUUGAUUACGUCCCUGCCCUUUGUACACACCGCCCGUCGCUCCUACCGAUUGAAUGUUCCGGUGAGCUCUUCGGACUGCGCGGUCUGCAGUUUCUGCGUUCCGUGCGGAAAGUUGCGCAAACCUUAACAUUUAGAGGAAGGAGAAGUCGUAACA
RNAcentral lists this ribosomal RNA (324 nucleotides) under uncultured eukaryote. Its description in RNAcentral is "partial 18S ribosomal RNA". It matches the Rfam family "Eukaryotic small subunit ribosomal RNA", at positions 1470 to 1796 of the family's 1831-position model. The record is from RNAcentral.